GGCCUCGUAGCUAAGCUGGUAGAGCAUGCGCGUACAAAGCGUAGGCGGCGUCCAUGCGUGGGUUCAAAUCCCACCGAUACUA
This 82-nucleotide transfer RNA is filed under the name Echinostoma caproni. It matches the Rfam family "tRNA". From Rfam's summary of the family: Transfer RNA (tRNA) molecules are approximately 80 nucleotides in length. Lineage: Eukaryota; Metazoa; Platyhelminthes; Trematoda; Plagiorchiida; Echinostomatidae. The record is from Rfam by way of RNAcentral.